AGAGUUUGAUCAUGGCUCAGGACGAACGCUGGCGGCGUGCUUAACACAUGCAAGUCGAGCGGUAAGGCCCUUCGGGGUACACGAGCGGCGAACGGGUGAGUAACACGUGGGCAACCUGCCCCGUACCUUGGGAUAAGCCCGGGAAACUGGGUCUAAUACCGAAUAUGACUUCAUACCGCAUGGUGUGGGGUGGAAAGUUC
Molecule: ribosomal RNA, 200 nt
Filed under: uncultured bacterium
Lineage: Bacteria
Description: partial 16S ribosomal RNA
Rfam family: Bacterial small subunit ribosomal RNA
Source: RNAcentral